RNAcentral lists this long non-coding RNA (4727 nucleotides) under Marmota monax (woodchuck). The record is from RNAcentral. Lineage: Eukaryota; Metazoa; Chordata; Mammalia; Rodentia; Sciuridae.
GUUCUGUUCCUCACGUCUCCUCCAUGUUUGGAUGUUUAAUAUGAAUGCGUGGCACUUGUGUAAUUUAAAGAUGUGAACAAGAGAAAACCAUGACUCCUCAUCUCUAGGAAUGACAACUAAGGGACCUCGCAGGACCUCGCAGGACGUGUGCUUUAAGGCAGAGGCAGAAGAAGCACGGUCCAGAGCCAGUCAGGGCCACACGCGCACCAUGUGGGAACAGGGGACAAAGUGCACAGCUCAGCUGCAACCCGAGAGCACAGGUAUUGGGCACCAGGGCUAAGGGUUCAUUUUUUGCUGGAACCAAAGAACCAAAACUUACAAAGGCAGAAGUGACCGCAUUUCAGCUGCUGGCAGAGAGGCACGUAAGCUGCUCGGUCCUGUUCUAACUCAAAACCACCGGGUGGCACUGCCCGGACUGCCAUGUAGGGAAGGGCACGUAGAUCCGGGCGGGGCUCCUUCCGUGCCCGAGGGACCCCAGGGAUCAGCGUGCAGGGAGCUCGCAGGAGGGUCCCAAGGCCUGGCCUCAGACCUCCCUCGAAUUGCCCUGAACUCGGGCUGAAAAGGGGCCAUAAGGUGCCAAGGCAAAUCUUGGCCACCGGAAGACGCUUGGGAGCUGCAGCGACACGCCCCGGUCCUGCUCACCUCCUGCACUCGCAGGGGUGUCCGCAGGGUGCCCGUGGGGCGGCAGAAGAAAACACCCAUGCUCUGGGGCGGGGGCAACCUGAACCAGGGGUUGGCUUCCUUCCCCCUGAGCGCUCAGGGGAACCACUGGGUCCCUGGGUUUUGAGUCAGUCAGUCACACGGGGAGCAGGCGGGUGCAUUGAGAAUUGACUGCCAGGACCUUGGGGUUUCCGAGCGGACCGUCCUGGAAGCUGCUUGAAGGACCUUGAAGUAGAAAACCCCGCCCCCUCUCCUGGGACGACUUCAGCAUUUGGAGGGGUUUCUGCCAAGCAACUUGCAGUCGGGUCCAGGCCUUGGACUUCACAUCAGGUUCAAGCCCCCCUUGGAGAGGUGCCGUGUGGAUCAAGCCAGAAGGAAGAGACUGGUGCUUCUGAACGGAGCUGUUACCACUGGUGUCUGUUAGUCAUGUGAUCAUCAUUAAUAAGUAACACUGGUUCAGUACUUACUACCUGGAAGGUGCACUUUUAAAUACUUCCUGUAUCACCUCAUCUAACCCUUACAACAAUCCUGCGGGCUUGGGCACUUUUAUUACCAUUUUUCAGGUAAGGAAACUGAGGCACAGAGAACAGAAGCAACUGUCCAGGCUUGGACAGAUGGUGGGAGGAGAUGCUGGCGUCCAGGUCUAGAUCCCGCUUGAGCCUGGCUCUUGAUCUCCCUCUCCACUGUGCAGUAAGCUCGUCUGUCUCCUGAGACUUCCCAGGAUCUGUGGAAAUAAACAGCAGGACAGGAAGGAACAAAAGGUUCCUCUAGAAAGAAACCAGGGUAUGGAGGGAGGGGGUAAGUGAUACUGGCCAAAUUAUAUUGUUACAUCAUGUGUGUAUGUGAAUAUGUAACAACAAAUCUCAUCAUCCUGAACAUCUACAAUACACCAAUAAAAAAUGUGGAAAAAGAAAGAUUCCUCUAGGGUAUGCACAAAAAUGAACAUUGCUGUGAAUAAGUUGGUUCUCAGCCAUUAGUUCAAGGAGGGGAAAGUAUUAAGUUUCUAGGGGGAAAAGAUCUUAUUCAUCCAUUUUUAGUGGCUAAAAUGAAAUGCCUGAGGCAGGCUAACCUUAUAAAGAAAAGAGUUUUAUUUGGCUCACAGUUUUGGAUGCCUGGGGCAAACACUCUGAGGAUUUGAGAUCUGAAAAAUACAAACCUUGGAUUGGCUAACUUCACUUAGCAUUAUCUUCUCUAACUCCAUCCAUUUACCUGCAAAUGCCAUGAUUUUAUUCUCUUAUAAGGCUGAGUAAUAUUCCAUUGUGUAUAUAUGCCACAUUUUUUUUUAUCCAUUCAUGUACUAAAGGGCCUUGAGGUUGGCCCCACAGUUUAGCUAUUGUGAAUUGUGCUGCUAUAAACAUUGAUGUGGCUGUGUCCCUGUAGUGUGCUGUUUUUAAGUCCUUUGGGUAUAGACCGAGGAGAAGGAUAGCUGGGUCAAAUGGUGGUUCCAUUCCCAGUUUUCCAAGGAAUCUCCACACUGCUUUCCAUAUUGGCUGCACCAAUUUGCAGUCCCACCAGCAAUGUAUGAGUGUGCCUUUUCCCCCACAUCCUUGCCAACACUUAUUGUUGUUUGUAUUCAUAAUAGCUACCAUUAGCCAAUACCAAAAAACUGAAUGCUGAAUGUUUUCUCUGAUAUAAAGGAGGCUGACUCAUAGUAGGAUAGGGAGGGGGAGCAUGGGAGGAAUAGAUGAACUCUAGAUAGGGACAGAUGAACUGGAGGGGAAGGAAGGGGGCAGGGGGUUAGAAAUGAUGGUGGAAUGUGAUGGACAUCAUUAUCCAAAGUACGUGUAUGAAGACAUGAAUUGGUGUCAACAUACUUUGUAUACAACCAGAGAUAUGAAAAAAUUGUGCUCUAUAUUAUGUAUUUGUAAUAUGAAUUGUAAUGCAUUCUGCUGUCAUAUACAAUAAAAAGUUAGUAAUAAAUAUUAACUUGUGGGCUAGGGCUACAGCUCAGUGGUAGAGCGCCUGCCUUGCAUGUGUGAGGCACUGGGUUCGAUCCUCAGCACCACAUAAAACUGAAUAAAUAAAGAUAUUGUGUCUAUCGACAAGUAAAUAAAUAUUUUAAAAAAUAUUAACUUGGGAUUUAUGAAUAAAUGUUCAUGAUAAAUUUACAAAUUUAGAAUCAAAUGAAAAAAAGGACAAACCUUUAGCCCAACCCCUCUUUCCUAGGAAGGACCUGUUCACUAAGGAGAGGGUUGCUCCAAGCACACCAGGCUAUUAAGGAGACUUGGGCCUCUGGGGUUUCCUGAUUCAAAGCUUGCCUUUGGAUGCCUCCCGCCGCGUUCUCUGUUCUGGAACACUACCUUUUGGUGCUUAGAGGCACUGCUCUGUUCUGCACCACGCUGCUCCCUGAUUGCUUAUUAUGGGCUAUACAGAUAGGGAAAUAUUUGCUGUCAGGACUGAAAAUCAGUUUUAACCUGCAUUUAUUCCAAGGAUUGAACUUGUACUCGAUUCAGAUUGAGCAUCCCUUAUUCAAAAUGCUUGAGACCACAAAUGUUUUGGCCUUUGAUUAUUUUGGAUUUUAGAAUAUUUGCAUACAUAAUGAGCUCUCUUGGGAGGCCACCCCAGUCUGAACAUGAAAUUCAUUUAUGUUUCACAUGUACCUUAUGCACAUAGCUGAAGGUAAUUUUAUUAUAGUAUUUUAAAUAAUUUUGCUUAUGAAAGAAAGCUUCAAGCUGUGUAAUUUUCCAAUUGUGGAAUCGUGUCAGUGCUCCAAAGUCUUGCAUUUUAGAGCACUUUGUAUUUUGAAUUUUUACGCCAUGGUGCUCGGCCUGUAUUCACAGAGUUGUGUGUCCAUCGCCAUGAUCCAGUUUUAGAUCAUCACCCCCAAAACAUCCCCAAUGCUGGUUCUCAGUCCAUGGUACCUCCGCAUCACAGGUAAUCUUUUGUUUCUUGCUCACUUUGCUUUCGCUGGACAUGGACUCCCUGUGGAUUCCUGUACUCUGCCAUGUAUUCUGUCUGGUUUCUUUAACUUAAAAUGUUUUUGAGAUUCAUCCAUUUUAACAUUUUGAGAGUAGAUCAUUAAUUUUUUAAAAACUAUUUUUUUUAGUUGUGGAUGGACAUAAUACCUUUAUUUAAUUUAUUUAUUUAGAUGUGGUGCUGAGGAUCGAACUCAGUGCCUCAUACGUGGGAGGCAAGCCCUCUGCCACUGUAAGCCACAACCUCAGCCCUGAUCAUUACUGUGUCCUUAAUGACUUAACACAGAAAUGACUUAAUACAGGUUGAGCAUCAUUACUUUGUAUUGCUGAGUUCUAGUCCAUUGUAUAGAUACACCACAUUUUACUUGUUCAUUCACAAGUUAGUAGGCAUUGUGAUUGAUUUCAGUUUGGGACCAUUACAAAUAAUGUUGCUAUAAACAUUUGUAUGCAUGUUUUGGUUUUGCAUGAACAUGUUUUUAUUUUUCUUGGGAGUAAAAUUACUGAGCUAUAUUUUCCUGUUUUUUCCCCCGCCUCCCCUUGCUACAUCAUAGACUUGUGAAAAACUGAAAUUUAUUUCUCACUCAUCUAGAGCCUGGGAAUUCCACAAUCAAAGUGCCCAGGGACUUAGUGUCUGGGGCCUCAUGGAUGGCACCUUCUCUGUCCUGAUAUGGUGACAGGUGCCAGUGAGCUCCCCCGGGCCUCUUUUAUAAGGGCACUAAUCCCAUUCAUGAGAGUUUUGCCCUCAAGAUCCAAUCAGCUCUGAAAGGCCCCACUUGCUAAGGCUACCACACUAGGAAUAGAUUUCUACACACAAAUUUGGGAGUGGGGUACACAAACAUAUAGACUAUAGUGCAUAUGCUCAAUCUAUGUUAACUUUUUAAGAAAUUGCUGAAUUAUUUUACAAAGUGAUCGUACCAUUUUACAUUUCCACCAGCAGAGUAUGAGACCUUUAGUUUUUCCAUACCUUGCCAAUAUUAGUAUUAUCUAUCUUUUUGGGGAUAGCUGUUCUGUUGGGUGUGCGGUGGUAUCUCUUUGUAGCUUUAGUUGGCAUUUUUCUCAUACUGAUGUUGAAUAUUCUUUCAUGUGAUUAUUUACCAUUCAUAUGGCUCUUUUGUUGAAAUGUUAAGACUUUCACUCAUUUGUAAACUGGGU